RNAcentral lists this ribosomal RNA (421 nucleotides) under uncultured archaeon. RNAcentral's name for it is "partial 16S ribosomal RNA". It matches the Rfam family "Archaeal small subunit ribosomal RNA", at positions 323 to 746 of the family's 1478-position model. The record is from RNAcentral.
CUACGGGUUGCUCCAGCCAGGAAACCUUUACAAUGCACGAAAGUGUGAUAGGGGAACCCUGAGUGCUCAUGUUUACAUGGGCUUUUGCCAUGCGAAAAUAACAUGGCGAAUAAGUGGUGGGUAAGACCGGUGCCAGCCGCCGCGGUAACCCCGGCGCCACUAGUGGGGACCACGUUUAUUGGGUCUAAAGCGUCCGCAGCCGAUAUAGUAAAUUCUUUGUGAAAUCGUACUGCUUCACAGUGCGACGCGCAAAGAACACUACUAUGUUAGGGACCGGGAGGAGGCAAGAGUAUGCAAAGGGGAGCGGUAAAAUGCUAUAAUCCUUUGUAGACUACCGAUAGCGAAGGCACUUGCCCAGAACGGGUCCGACGGUCAGGGACGAAGGCUAGGGGAGCAAAAGGGAUUAGAUACCCCUGUAGUC